UGGUAUAUCAGUAUCAAAUAUUUAAGCAAAAACAAUAUUCUGUUUUCGGCCAUACGGGAACCAAUCGUGCAGAGCUAACUAAUUUGUUGUAUUUCCCUUUGACCAAUCGAAGUACAAAGUUGGCUUAAGUCGAACUGGAAACAAGUUCUCAAGUUACUUCAUGUUACUAACAUUUCGCACUGCGAAUGAACACCCCGAGAAGUAUGCAACAACUGAGCGACAGAUCAAAGCGGCAAAGGACUUUAUAAAUGCUCAACGCUGGCCGCCAGCGAAGAAUACAACUACAUACACACACAGAGCUGAAUGCGCUUCGUUGGAUACACGCACACAACGAACAGGAAACGACAAGCUCGAAGCACGAAGCACGAUGCUGCUCGUGUGUCGUUCGGCUCAUGCCUUUUGCGUUUAUUUGUUCGUGCAUAUCAACAAUUGGUCGAAUAGAAAUUCAACUGUGUCUGUGUUGUUCACUGUGUGAGUUGGCGGUGGGACUUGGGCCUCACGCAAGUGAGUGUGGGUGCAUGGGUCGCGGCGCGCAAUUGAAUUGAACGGAAAUAUUGUUUGCAUAUGUGAAUAAAACAUUAAACAAGAAAAAUUUUG
Drosophila hydei is the source of this 597-nucleotide long non-coding RNA. RefSeq lists it as uncharacterized. The record is from RefSeq and is a predicted model, not a curated record. Lineage: Eukaryota; Metazoa; Arthropoda; Insecta; Diptera; Drosophilidae. The transcript is spliced from 3 exons.